UGGGGAAUAUUGGACAAUGGGCGAAAGCCUGAUCCAGCCAUGCCGCGUGUGUGAAGGUCUUCGGAUUGUAAAGCACUUUAAGUUGGGAGGAAGGGCAGUAAGCGAAUACCUUGCUGUUUUGACGUUACCGACAGAAUAAGCACCGGCUAACUCUGUGCCAGCAGCCGCGGUAAUACAGAGGGUGCAAGCGUUAAUCGGAAUUACUGGGCGUAAAGCGCGCGUAGGUGGUUCGUUAAGUUGAAUGUGAAAGCCCCGGGCUCAACCUGGGAACUGCAUCCAAAACUGGCGAGCUAGAGUAGGGCAGAGGGUGGUGGAAUUUCCUGUGUAGCGGUGAAAUGCGUAGAUAUAGGAAGGAACACCAGUGGCGAAGGCGACCACCUGGGCUCAUACUGACACUGAGGUGCGAAAGCGUGGGGAGCAAACAGG
Molecule: ribosomal RNA, 426 nt
Filed under: Pseudomonadota bacterium
Lineage: Bacteria; Pseudomonadati; Pseudomonadota
Description: Proteobacteria bacterium partial 16S ribosomal RNA
Rfam family: Bacterial small subunit ribosomal RNA
Source: RNAcentral